This 418-nucleotide ribosomal RNA is filed under the name Actinomycetes bacterium. RNAcentral describes it as "bacterial SSU rRNA". It matches the Rfam family "Bacterial small subunit ribosomal RNA", at positions 1 to 412 of the family's 1533-position model. The record is from RNAcentral. Lineage: Bacteria; Bacillati; Actinomycetota; Actinomycetes. RNAcentral also lists the same sequence under 1 other name.
UUCACGGAGAGUUUGAUCCUGGCUCAGGACGAACGCUGGCGGCUCGCUUAACACAUGCAAGUCGAGCGAGAACCAGUCCUUCGGGACUGGGGACAGCGGCGAACGGGUGAGUAACACGUGAGUAAUCCACCCUUGGCACCGGAAUAGCCCGGGGAAACCCGGAUUAAUGCCGGAUGGCCCGACAGCCUCUCGGGGCGGUCGGGAAAGAUAGCUUCGGCCUUCGGCCAAGGACGAGCUCGCGGCGGAUUAGCUUGUUGGCGGGGUAAAGGCCCACCAAGGCGACGAUCCGUAGCUGGUCUGAGAGGACGAUCAGCCACACUGGGACUGAGACACGGCCCAGACUCCUACGGGAGGCAGCAGUGGGGAAUCUUGCGCAAUGGGCGAAAGCCUGACGCAGCGACGCCGCGUGAGGGAAGAA